RNAcentral lists this microRNA (22 nucleotides) under Fragaria vesca subsp. vesca. RNAcentral's name for it is "fve-miR2109". The record is from miRBase by way of RNAcentral. Lineage: Eukaryota; Viridiplantae; Streptophyta; Magnoliopsida; Rosales; Rosaceae.
UGCGAGUGUCUUCACCUCUGAA